UCGCGCCCGGGCAGCGGCCGCGUGCUCGGGGUCGGCCCGGUCGCGCGUCCCCGCCGGCGGUGGCAGGAGCGAGGGCGCGGGCGGAAGCGCGGGUUCCCCGUGGGCCUAGCUGCAGUGCCUGGGACGGCGGCGUGGCCUUCUUCGUUUCCGGUAGCGAGGUGUGUGUGUGCGUGUUUGUUUUCGCCUGGUUGGUUGUUUUUGUAACUAGGGUGGGCCUGGCUAUAAAAAAAAAAAAAAAAAAAAAGUCCCCUCCUUUAGGCUCUUGUCCCGCACCGGACAGCUCUCAGUGACCGCGGUCCUCUCCGGGACACCGGGGUCUGUGCACCUGCCCUCCCUCCAGCUGCCCGGCGCACGCGGGGGGACGGCCUGCCGGGUACCGGAUGGAUAGGGGCGCUCAACCGACUGCCCCGCCUUCCAGCACAGCUAAGAUGGUCAGGAGCCAAAGGAAAUCCUGUAACGUUAUUCGGGAAUUCUUCCUCCCGUGGAAACAAAACGGAUGCCCGUUCCAUUCGGCGCAGUCGGCACGGGCUGGGGCGUCUUCAGGAUGCGGUGGCUCCGGCCGCCCAGGGCAGUCGGGGCUCCAGCUGGAAGGGGCCAACGUGACUGAGUUCAUGUCACGGGGAAAUCGCAGUCCACUUCCGACCCUGCCCCGUUCAAAACCUGGCAAAGACGUUUUCGACUCAGCUUGGAGGUGACUGAAAACCUUUUUUGUGGGCGUUAUAUGCUUUUGAUCUUGUAGCCACCAAGAGGAUUUUUGAAACACGAAACUCCUCUGGACAUUUUUAACUUUAAAGCAUAAAAGUUGUCACGGUUGCGAAGCACCUGCAGAAUGCAGACAUAGGUAUUUUGGAACACAGUGGAUCCGGCCCUCUUUUCAACCGAUUGGUCGAAUACAAAUACCACAGCCAGCCAUUCGAUACCCACCAUCGUCCAUUAAACAUCAGCUCGGCUUCAAUAACUGAAGACUUUACACCUGGGGUUAGACGCUAUUUUACAAGCCAAGAUGGGUGAGCACGAAGCCUUCUCUUCAAGAAGAGAGCCCCACGGUGAACAGAAGGAAGCGAGGAAAUGCUUCAGGACAAUGACAAGAUAGACACACGAGGCCAUUAGUAUCUGGUUUACAACAGCUUUCUUCUGCUGUUCCUGUCUAAGCAGGGUAUGAGAAGCGUGUUCACCCCAUUCCUGGUUUGGAACUUCUAGGACUCUCAGCUGUGGUGUGUUCUCAUUAUCCUAUUCUAUUUAAAUCAAGUUUAAAAUAUCUGUUUCCCUUGAGGGCGAUCAUGAUGAAAAAAAUACUCCCUCUCUGGAAGGAAUUUCACGUGGUCGUAAGUGCUCUAACAACUUCAGCGCCAGUCCAAGGGUAUUUCACUCUAAGUUAGUAGAUUUUUAGUUAAGGAGAUACAUAGAAAUUCUGCCCCGGAGUCUAGAACUGAAAGUAAAAGUGAAAUCUAACAGAGGGGACAUGGUGUUCCUGAUUCCAAAGCAAAUACGAGUCACUGUGAAUGUUGGGGAUUUCCUGGUCUGUUGGCAACUUCGUAACUUGCAAAUAAAACACAGAUCAGCCUUGAACAAGUGCUAAUGAAGAAGUUUACCUGGAAGUGUCUGUUCGUGUAGACAAAGUGAUGACGCUGGGCCUCAUACAUGGUGGCUUACUUUUGAUUUCUUUGUCCUGACAGCACUUUACCCGUAUAAUUUACAUUACACAGUCAAAGUGCACACAUCUUACGUGCACAGCUCAUGAAUCUUAACAAAUGUGUAUACUUGGGGGACCACCAACCAGACCGAUACCAAGAACACUUUCCCACCACCCCAGGAAAUUCCUUCAUGCCUGUUUUCGGUCAAUACUUAUCUGUAUAGCCCGGCUCCCCGCCUCAGGCACUGUUCUGGUAUCUUCUACCUCAGCUUUGGUUUGUCUGUUCUCACACUUCACAGAAGUGGAAUUGCAUGGUGUGCACUCAUAAAGGCUUCUUUCACUAACUAUUUGUAGUUUCAUCCACACUGUACCACAUCUUAGCAGUUUGCUCAUUUUACUGACAAAUGGUGUCUAUCACCAUAAUUUGUGUAUUCAUUCUCCUGCUCAUGGACGUUUGGGUUAUUUCCUGGUUUGACCCCUUAUGCAGAGUGAAGUUACGAACAUCUUGGUCUGAGUCUUUGUGCGACUCUACGGAUUCGUUUCUGUUUUGUAAACGCCCGGACACGGAAUUGCGUGGGGUAGGUGCGUGUUUGUUUUCACAAGGAACGUUACACCCUGCCAGCAAAUGUGUAACAACUCUACGUGCUGAACAUCCCUCCUAGGCUUAGAAUUGUUAACUUUCUAAAUCUGACCUCUUCCUGGGAGUA
This is a long non-coding RNA of Felis catus (domestic cat), 2340 nucleotides long. RefSeq lists it as uncharacterized. NCBI's taxonomy places the organism in Eukaryota, Metazoa, Chordata, Mammalia, Carnivora, Felidae. The transcript is spliced from 3 exons. The record is from RefSeq and is a predicted model, not a curated record.